AUCUUUUGAGUAUUUCACGUACAUUUGCCUUCCAAGCAAAAAGAUUAAUUAUAUUUAAAAAAGAUA
Molecule: transfer RNA, 66 nt
Filed under: Desmaulus extinctorium
Lineage: Eukaryota; Metazoa; Mollusca; Gastropoda; Littorinimorpha; Calyptraeidae
Description: tRNA-Gly
Source: RNAcentral